CAUAAAGGGUAGUGCAGCAGAAUCCCUUGACAGAAGGCCAAGGCAUACAUUAUUAUGCUGUUCUCUGUCUCAGUGACUCAAUCUUUUUUGCUACUGAUUGAAUCCUGAUUGAUACUGGCUCUGAAAUCUCAGCUUCACUGCAGCGAUGAGGAGUUGUGCCAGUGCUUCAACUCUUGCCAAGAUGACUUCAUCUGACUUGAGAGCUGCACUGGAGCCUUCACAUGUGAGCAUCUAUGCCAGAAAACCAGAGGAGUAACUCAAAGAAAUUAAGAAAUAAAGGAUACAGCUCCCUGUACUGUCACACUGAAUGCCUGUGUGACUUUAUAUGACAUUUGCAAUAUCAUGGAAAUUCUCACUCCUAUCAAUGAAAAUUAUUCUGACCAACAGUGGUGAAUUAAAAUGUAAGCCCAUGCAAGAA
Long non-coding RNA from Cyanistes caeruleus (blue tit), 418 nucleotides. RefSeq lists it as uncharacterized. NCBI's taxonomy places the organism in Eukaryota, Metazoa, Chordata, Aves, Passeriformes, Paridae. The record is from RefSeq and is a predicted model, not a curated record.